GAUGAACGCUGGCGGCGUGCCUAAUACAUGCAAGUCGAGCGAACAGACGAUGAGCUUGCUCCUCUGACGUUAGCGGCGGGCGGGUGAGUAACACGUGUAUAACCUACCUAUAAGACUGGGAUAACUUCGGGAAACCGGAGCUAAUACCGGAUAAUAUAUUGAACCGCAGUGUUCAAUAGUGAAAUACGGUUUUGCGGUCACUUAUAGAUGGAUCCGCGCCGCAUUAGCUAGUUGGUAAGUUAACGGCUUACCAAGGCAACGAUGCGUAGCCGACCUGAGAGGGUGGUAGGCCACACUGGAACGGAGACACGGUCCAGACUCCUACGGGAGGCAGCAGUAGGGAAUCUGACGCAAUGGGCGAAAGUUUGACGGAGCAACGCCGAGUGAGUGACGAAGGUCUUCGGAUCGUAAAAAUCUGUUAUUAGGGAAGAACAACUGUGUCAGUAAAUAUGCACGUAUUGACGGUAACUAGUAAGAAAGCCACGGCUAACUACGUG
RNAcentral lists this ribosomal RNA (497 nucleotides) under uncultured bacterium. RNAcentral describes it as "partial 16S ribosomal RNA". It matches the Rfam family "Bacterial small subunit ribosomal RNA", at positions 28 to 507 of the family's 1533-position model. The record is from RNAcentral.